GUCCACGCCGUAAACGAUGGAUACUAGCUGUUGGGAGCAAUCUCAGUGGCUAAGCGAAAGUGAUAAGUAUCCCACCUGGGGAGUACGCACGCAAGUGUGAAACUCAAAGGAAUUGACGGGGGCCCGCACAAGCGGUGGAGCAUGUGGUUUAAUUCGAUGAUACGCGAGGAACCUUACCAGGGCUUAAAUGUAGAUUGACAGGACUGGGAAACAGUUUUUCUUCGGACAAUUUACAAGGUGCUGCAUGGUUGUCGU
RNAcentral lists this ribosomal RNA (255 nucleotides) under uncultured bacterium. RNAcentral's name for it is "partial 16S ribosomal RNA". It matches the Rfam family "Bacterial small subunit ribosomal RNA", at positions 793 to 1055 of the family's 1533-position model. The record is from RNAcentral.